AGCUAACGCGUUAAGUCGACCGCCUGGGGAGUACGGCCGCAAGGUUAAAACUCAAAUGAAUUGACGGGGGCCCGCACAAGCGGUGGAGCAUGUGGUUUAAUUCGAUGCAACGCGAAGAACCUUACCUGGUCUUGACAUCCACAGAACUUUCCAGAGAUGGAUUGGUGCCUUCGGGAACUGUGAGACAGGUGCUGCAUGGCUGUCGUCAGCUCGUGUUGUGAAAUGUUGGGUUAAGUCCCGCAACGAGCGCAACCCUUAUCCUUUGUUGCCAGCGGUCCGGCCGGGAACUCAAAGGAGACUGCCAGUGAUAAACUGGAGGAAGGUGGGGAUGACGUCAAGUCAUCAUGGCCCUUACGACCAGGGCUACACACGUGCUACAAUGGCGCAUACAAAGAGAAGCGACCUCGCGAGAGCAAGCAGACCUCAUAAAGUGCGUCGUAGUCCGGAUUGGAGUCUGCAACUCGACUCCAUGAAGUCGGAAUCGCUAGUAAUCGUGGAUCAGAAUGCCACGGUGAAUACGUUCCCGGGCCUUGUACACACCGCCCGUC
RNAcentral lists this ribosomal RNA (548 nucleotides) under uncultured bacterium. RNAcentral describes it as "bacterial SSU rRNA". It matches the Rfam family "Bacterial small subunit ribosomal RNA", at positions 850 to 1398 of the family's 1533-position model. The record is from RNAcentral.